Molecule: transfer RNA, 72 nt
Filed under: Metschnikowia agaves
Lineage: Eukaryota; Fungi; Ascomycota; Pichiomycetes; Serinales; Metschnikowiaceae
Description: tRNA-Met
Rfam family: tRNA
About the family: Transfer RNA (tRNA) molecules are approximately 80 nucleotides in length. Their secondary structure includes four short double-helical elements and three loops (D, anti-codon, and T loops). Further hydrogen bonds mediate the characteristic L-shaped molecular structure. tRNAs have two regions of fundamental functional importance: the anti-codon, which is responsible for specific mRNA codon recognition, and the 3' end, to which the tRNAs corresponding amino acid is attached (by aminoacyl-tRNA synthetases). tRNAs cope with the degeneracy of the genetic code in two manners: having more than one tRNA (with a specific anti-codon) for a particular amino acid; and 'wobble' base-pairing, i.e. permitting non-standard base-pairing at the 3rd anti-codon position.
Source: RNAcentral
GCUUAGAUAGUUCAAUGGUUAGAACAAUUACCUCAUAUGUAAUUAAUAUAGGUUCAAUUCCUAUUUUAAGCU